Molecule: ribosomal RNA, 484 nt
Filed under: uncultured bacterium
Lineage: Bacteria
Description: partial 16S ribosomal RNA
Rfam family: Bacterial small subunit ribosomal RNA
Source: RNAcentral
AUUGAACGCUGGCGGCAGGCCUAACACAUGCAAGUCGAGCGGAUGAAGGGAGCUUGCUCCUGGAUUCAGCGGCGGACGGGUGAGUAAUGCCUAGGAAUCUGCCUGGUAGUGGGGGAUAACGUCCGGAAACGGGCGCUAAUACCGCAUACGUCCUGAGGAAGAAAGUGGGGGAUCUUCGGACCUCACGCUAUCAGAUGAGCCUAAGUCGGAUUAGCUAGUUGGUGGGGUAAAGGCCUACCAAGGCGACGAUCCGUAACUGGUCUGAGAGGAUGAUCAGUCACACUGGAACUGAGACACGGUCCAGACUCCUACGGGAGGCAGCAGUGGGGAAUAUUGGACAAUGGGCGAAAGCCUGAUCCAGCCAUGCCGCGUGUGUGAAGAAGGUCUUCGGAUUGUAAAGCACUUUAAGUUGGGAGGAAGGGCAGUAAGUUAAUACCUUGCUGUUUUGACGUUACCAACAGAAUAAGCACCGGCUAACUUCGUG